This 30-nucleotide non-coding RNA is filed under the name Mus musculus (house mouse). The record is from RNAcentral. Lineage: Eukaryota; Metazoa; Chordata; Mammalia; Rodentia; Muridae.
UCCAAAUGUCGAUUAUUCCUUCUGUGGCAC